RNAcentral lists this non-coding RNA (945 nucleotides) under Osphronemus goramy (giant gourami). RNAcentral's name for it is "12S ribosomal RNA". It matches the Rfam family "Bacterial small subunit ribosomal RNA". The record is from RNAcentral. Lineage: Eukaryota; Metazoa; Chordata; Actinopteri; Anabantiformes; Osphronemidae.
CAAAGGCUUGGUCCUGACUUUAUUAUCAACUUUAGCUAAACUUACACAUGCAAGUAUCCGCACCCCUGUGAGAAUGCCCCACAGUUUCCCUCUCGGAAACAAGGAGCUGGUAUCAGGCACACACAAUUAAAGCCCAUGACACCUUGCUUAGCCACACCCCUAAGGGAACUCAGCAGUGAUAAACAUUAAGCUAUAAGUGAAAACUUGACUUAGUUAAGGCAAAGAGGGCCGGUAAAACUCGUGCCAGCCACCGCGGUUAUACGAGAGGCCCAAGUUGAUAAACAGCGGCAUAAAGAGUGGUUAAGAAAAAACUCAAACUAAGACCGAACGCUUUCAAAGCUGUUAUACGCACCCGAAAGUAAGAAGCUCAACUACGAAAGUGGCCUUACACACCUGAACCCACGAAAGCUAGGACACAAACUGGGAUUAGAUACCCCACUAUGCCUAGCCCUAAACAUCGAUAGCUCAUUACCCCCACUAUCCGCCCGGGAACUACGAGCAUUAGCUUAAAACCCAAAGGACUUGGCGGUGCUUAAGAUCCACCUAGAGGAGCCUGUUCUAGAACCGAUAACCCCCGUUCAACCUCACCCUCCCUUGUCUCCCCCGCCUAUAUACCGCCGUCGUCAGCUUACCCUGUGAAGGCCUAAUAGUAAGCAAAAUUGGCAUAGCCUAAAACGUCAGGUCGAGGUGUAGCGCAUGAGAGGGAAAGAAAUGGGCUACAUUCCCUAACAUAGUGAAUACGAAUAAUGAACUGAAACAUUCAUUUGAAGGAGGAUUUAGCAGUAAGCAGAAAAUAGAGCGUCCUGCUGAAACUGGCCCUAAAGCGCGCACACACCGCCCGUCACUCUCCCCAAGCUAUUAACUACACAUCUCUAAUACCCUAUAACUGCAAAGGGGAGGCAAGUCGUAACAUGGUAAGUGUACCGGAAGGUGUGCUUGGAAAAA